CUACGGAGGGUGCAAGCGUUAAUCGGAAUUACUGGGCGUAAAGCGUACGUAGGCGGUCCGUUAAGUUAGAUGUGAAAGCCCCGGGCUUAACCUGGGAACUGCAUUUAAAACUGGCGAACUAGAGUUGAGUAGAGGGGAGUGGAAUUUCAGGUGUAGCGGUGAAAUGCGUAGAGAUCUGAAGGAACACCAGUGGCGAAGGCGACUCCCUGGACUCGAACUGACGCUGAGGUACGAAAGCGUGGGUAGCAAACGGGAUUAGAAACCCUAGUAGUCC
Molecule: ribosomal RNA, 274 nt
Filed under: uncultured bacterium
Lineage: Bacteria
Description: partial 16S ribosomal RNA
Rfam family: Bacterial small subunit ribosomal RNA
Source: RNAcentral